Molecule: ribosomal RNA, 454 nt
Filed under: uncultured bacterium
Lineage: Bacteria
Description: SSU rRNA
Rfam family: Bacterial small subunit ribosomal RNA
Source: RNAcentral
AGAAUCAACGCUGGCGGCGCGCUUAACACAUGCAAGUCGCACGAGAAAGGGAGCAAUCCUAAGUAAAGUGGCGCACGGGUGAGUAACACGUGGAUCAUCUACCUUUUAGUGGGGAAUACCUCUGGGAAACCGGAGACAAUACCGCAUAAGCCUGUAAAGGGAAAGCAGCAAUGCGCUGAAAGAGGAGUCCGCGGCCGAUUAGCUAGUUGGCGGGGUAAUGGCCCACCAAGGCGAAGAUCGGUAGCCGGCCUGAGAGGGCACACGGCCACACUGGCACUGGAACACGGGCCAGACUCCUACGGGAGGCAGCAGUGGGGAAUCUUGCACAAUGGCGAAAGCCUGAUGCAGCGACGCCGCGUGAGCGAUGAAGCCCUUCGGGGUGUAAAGCUCUUUCGACGGACGAUAAUGACGGUACCGGAGAAGAAGCUGCGGCUAACUACGUGCCAGCAGCCGC